This 386-nucleotide ribosomal RNA is filed under the name uncultured Acinetobacter sp. RNAcentral's name for it is "bacterial SSU rRNA". It matches the Rfam family "Bacterial small subunit ribosomal RNA", at positions 355 to 732 of the family's 1533-position model. Lineage: Bacteria; Pseudomonadati; Pseudomonadota; Gammaproteobacteria; Moraxellales; Moraxellaceae. The record is from RNAcentral.
UGGGGAAUAUUGGACAAUGGGGGGAACCCUGAUCCAGCCAUGCCGCGUGUGUGAAGAAGGCCUUAUGGUUGUAAAGCACUUUAAGCGAGGAGGAGGCUCCCGUAGCUAAUAUCUACGGAGAGUGGACGUUACUCGCAGAAUAAGCACCGGCUAACUCUGUGCCAGCAGCCGCGGUAAUACAGAGGGUGCGAGCGUUAAUCGGAUUUACUGGGCGUAAAGCGUGCGUAGGCGGCUUUUUAAGUCGGAUGUGAAAUCCCCGAGCUUAACGGGGAGGUUGGUGGGGAGGUGGUGAAGGUAGAGGAUGAGAGAGGAUGGGAGAAAGGGAAGAGGCGGGGUGAUGUGAGUGCAGAGAGGGACGAAUAGGGAGGGGGAAGGGAGGAAUCCGG